This 440-nucleotide ribosomal RNA is filed under the name uncultured bacterium. RNAcentral's name for it is "partial 16S ribosomal RNA". It matches the Rfam family "Bacterial small subunit ribosomal RNA", at positions 338 to 795 of the family's 1533-position model. The record is from RNAcentral.
CCUACGGGAGGCAGCAGUAGGGAAUAUUGCUCAAUGGGGGAAACCCUGAAGCAGCAACGCCGCGUGGAGGAUGAAGGUUUUCGGAUUGUAAACUCCUUUUGUUAGAGAAGAUAAUGACGGUAUCUAACGAAUAAGCACCGGCUAACUCCGUGCCAGCAGCCGCGGUAAUACGGAGGGUGCAAGCGUUACUCGGAAUCACUGGGCGUAAAGAGCGCGUAGGCGGGAUAGCAAGUCAGAUGUGAAAUCCUAUGGCUUAACCAUAGAACUGCAUUUGAAACUGUUAUUCUAGAGUAUGGGAGAGGUAGGUGGAAUUCUUGGUGUAGGAGUAAAAUCCGUAGAGAUCAAGAGGAAUACUCAUUGCGAAGGCGACCUGCUAGAACAUAACUGACGCUGAUGCGCGAAGGCGUGGGGAGCGAACAGGAUUAGAUACCCCAGUAGUC